Arachis ipaensis is the source of this 1395-nucleotide long non-coding RNA. RefSeq lists it as uncharacterized. The record is from RefSeq and is a predicted model, not a curated record. Lineage: Eukaryota; Viridiplantae; Streptophyta; Magnoliopsida; Fabales; Fabaceae.
UAGGGUGGCGAAUGGCAGCACGAAGGUCGUUGGAGGUGGAGGGUUGGGCAUCGGGGUGGAUGUAGGUUUGGAGAGCGUAGAGGAAGAGAAUUGGGAGCCUGAAGAAUACGAUAAAGAACGCGAGGAAGAGGGAGAGCCAAGGGUGCAUGACUGGGGCUUUGUACAAUAACACCAACUGCGAAGGAUCAAUGUGGGUAUAAAUUGAAAAUGAGCCAGUUCACGUCAGCGUUCUGGUGAUGACUCAUCACCAAAAAUAUGUCCAGGAACCACUUUGAGUGCUCGGAGCUCUAUCUGGAGAGUUACAAUGAAAAAAUCGGGAUCUUGAGGAUUACAUUGAGUAUUUGCGCGAAUUUCAGGGACUACUAUGGGUAUUUAUUCAACUCCUCACAUUGGUGGUAACCCUGGAUGGUGGUGGUCUUCAUCCUCUACCAAAACCUACUCAACAAAAGAGGGAUAUAUUUGGCCCUUGCAAAGGAAUACCAUUGGGAUACCCACAUCAAUUGAAACUGGUUGUGGCGCUCAAAAAUUCCAGAAAAAUUGAAGGUUCUUGUUUGGCUCUGCAUCCAAGAAGCCUUGCCCACAGCAGCUUUUCGAUUUCGGUGCGGGAUAGCGAUGUCGGAUCUCUACCCUCGCUGCAAUGGUCAAAAGAAUCAGCUUACCAUUGCUUUUUGAGUGUUAUCGAGCUCGAAACGUGUGGUCCAUUCUGGGUGUGUCCUUGUUUGGCAUCGGCAGCUCUAUGGCUGGUUUAGUGAACCCCUUGGAUAUUUUUCGAUGCCGGAUGGUGCAAGCUGAUUUCACUUUCUUCACAGGAGGCCUGCUCAGGAGUUGAAAAUUUUCAGCCGCUCAAACCACCUCCUUCAUGAACUUGAUGAUAGUGUGAUUUGGUCUCCUCCUCCAAACGAUAUGGUCAAAAUAAAUUGUGAUGCCACUAUGCCAGCAUUUACCAUGAGUAAAAUCUUGCGGAAUUUGGUUGUCUUCUUCAGAAUAAAAAUGGAACUUGGAGAAAAGGUUGCUCAGGAUAUCUCCCUAAUUAGGAAAUUUUCAGGUGUGAACUUUUUGCUCUAUGGAGGAAUUUGGUUCUUGCUUAGGAGUGUGAGUUCAAAUAAGUCAUAAUCGAAACUGACUCAAUAGAGGUUUAUCUAAGACUUCAAUUUGAUUCUGAUUGGCCAACUAUAACACUGAUGGUGAUCUAAUGUUGAAAAUUAAAAAGUUAUUGGCUUUGAAUUGGAAAGUUCAUUUUAGUCUGGUGAGAAGGGAAGCAAAUUCAGCUGCUGACCUGCUAACUAAUAGAGGGGCUUAGGAUGGGAUUGAUUUGGUGGAGUGGUUAGAGCCUUGGCAACAGUUGCGAAACGUUCUCAGUAGGGAUUUAGUAGUGCCUACUUAAUUCUUGUUUUG